RNAcentral lists this ribosomal RNA (233 nucleotides) under uncultured bacterium. Its description in RNAcentral is "partial 16S ribosomal RNA". It matches the Rfam family "Bacterial small subunit ribosomal RNA", at positions 102 to 334 of the family's 1533-position model. The record is from RNAcentral.
CACGGGUGAGUAACACGUAUCCAACCUGCCGUCUACUCUUGGACAGCCUUCUGAAAGGAAGAUUAAUACAAGAUGGCAUCAUGAGUCCGCAUGUUCACAUGAUUAAAGGUAUUCCGGUAGACGAUGGGGAUGCGUUCCAUUAGAUAGUAGGCGGGGUAACGGCCCACCUAGUCUUCGAUGGAUAGGGGUUCUGAGAGAAAGGUCCCCCACAUUGGAACUGAGACACGGUCCAA